This is an RNA transcript of Eubalaena glacialis (North Atlantic right whale), 2409 nucleotides long. It is a transcript of the gene named GTP binding elongation factor GUF1, with no coding region annotated. The transcript has 18 exons. The record is from RefSeq and is a predicted model, not a curated record. NCBI's taxonomy places the organism in Eukaryota, Metazoa, Chordata, Mammalia, Artiodactyla, Balaenidae.
UCGCCGAGCGUCUUGGGCGUCCUGCCAGGGCCGCUAGUUGGGCGGUUGUUCCCAGCUCAAGUCUUCCUUCUCCUCCGUGCUUCCGAAGGCGUGUUUUGAAUCCUGUCUGUCAGCUCCUAGCGGGGGCGUCUUGGAGGAAACGGAGCCGGGGGUGUUGGCGCCGUCGCGUCUCGGGACCCUCUCCUGAGGAUUGUGUCGCGCGGGGGGAUGUGGACGCUUGCGGGUCAGGGCUGCUGGCGCAGACGCGCGCUCGCGGCCUGGGCCACCCGGGCGGCGCGUCGGGGGCUGCCCGCGCCUCGCCCCGCGCCGACCCGGGGAGCUGCAGCCGAGUCCAAGGCUCCGGACAGGAGCUACAGCUCCGCGGACCGCAAGGAAAAAAUUGAUAUGUCUAAAUUCCCUGUUGAAAACACUAGAAAUUUCAGUAUCAUUGCACAUGUGGAUCAUGGCAAAAGUACUUUAGCCGACAGGCUCCUGGAACUAACAGGGGCAAUUGAUAAAACAAAAAAUAAUAAACAAGUUCUUGAUAAAUUGCAAGUGGAACGAGAAAGAGGAAUCACUGUUAAAGCACAGACAGCGUCUCUCUUCUGUGAUUAUGAAGGAAAGCAGUACCUUUUAAAUCUCAUCGAUACACCGGGCCAUGUUGAUUUUAGUUAUGAAGUAUCCAGGUCACUCUCAGCUUGCCAGGGUGUUUUACUUGUGGUGGAUGCAAAUGAGGGUAUUCAAGCCCAAACUGUAGCAAACUUCUUUCUUGCUUUUGAAGCACAGCUAUCGGUAAUUCCAGUCAUAAACAAGAUAGAUCUGAAGAAUGCUGAUCCUGAAAGGGUUGAAAAACAAAUUGAAAAGGUGUUUGAUAUUCCAAGUGAUGAAUGUAUUAAGAUUUCUGCUAAACUUGGAACGAAUGUUGAAAGUGUUCUUCAGGCAGUCAUCAAAAGAAUACCCCCUCCUAAAGUGCAUCGCAAAAAUCCCUUGAGAGCUUUGGUAUUUGACUCCACCUUUGACCAGUAUAGGGGUGUGAUUGCCAAUGUAGCAUUAUUUGAUGGAGUGGUUUCCAAAGGAGAUAAAAUUGUAUCUGCGCAAACUCAAAAGACAUAUGAAGUUAACGAAGUAGGAGUUCUGAAUCCUAAUGAGCAGCCAACUCACAAACUAUAUGCAGGACAGGUGGGCUAUCUGAUUGCUGGGAUGAAAGAUGUCACUGAAGCACAAAUAGGAGAUACAUUAUAUUUACAUAAACAACCAGUGGAACCCUUGCCUGGGUUUAAAUCAGCGAAGCCAAUGGUAUUUGCAGGAAUGUACCCUAUAGACCAAUCUGAAUAUAAUAACCUGAAGAGUGCUAUAGAAAAACUGACUCUAAAUGAUUCCAGUGUGACAGUUCAUCGGGAUAGUAGCCUUGCCCUAGGUGCUGGCUGGAGGUUAGGAUUUCUUGGACUUUUGCAUAUGGAAGUUUUCAACCAGCGACUUGAGCAAGAGUAUAAUGCUUCUGUUAUUUUGACAACCCCUACUGUUCCAUAUAAAGCUGUUCUUUCAUCAGCAAAAUUGAUAAAGGAAUACAGAGAAAAGGAAAUUACAAUCAUCAAUCCUGCACAAUUCCCUGAUAAGUCAAAAGUAACAGAAUAUUUGGAGCCGAUUGUUUUGGGCACCAUUAUCACACCAGAUGAAUAUACUGGAAAAAUAAUGAUGCUUUGCCAGGCUCGAAGAGCAGUUCAGAAGAAUAUGAUGUAUAUUGAUCAAAAUAGAAUAAUGCUUACAUAUCUCUUCCCUUUGAAUGAAAUUGUGGUGGAUUUUUAUGAUUCUUUGAAAUCUCUGUCUUCUGGAUAUGCUAGUUUUGACUACGAAGAUGCAGGCUACCAGACUGCAGAACUUGUAAAAAUGGAUAUUCUACUGAAUGGAAAUAUUGUAGAAGAGCUAGUAACUGUUGUACACAAAGACAAAGCAUACUCUGCUGGCAAAGCCAUAUGUGAACGUCUGAAGGAUUCUCUUCCUAGGCAGCUGUUUGAGAUAGCAAUUCAAGCUGCUCUUGGAAGCAAAAUCAUUGCAAGAGAAACUGUGAAAGCCUACAGGAAAAAUGUUUUGGCAAAAUGCGCAGAACUGUUGUGAUCUAAGGACAAGUACCUAGGCCAAGCUGAAACAAUCAGAAUUUCUCUCUAUAAAUCUGAAACUUGACCAGGAACACAGAAAGAAAGAAGGCAUCUAGAGCUGAGGCAUUUGAUGACAGCACUGCAGGAGAGGAUCAGAGGGAAGGGAACUCUUGCUCCAUUUCCCAGGACUGAGCAAUGGUGGAUUAAUACUCUGGAGCUCUUCUCUGGUCUUACUAUUUCCAAUUCAGAGGAGAGGAGUAGGAAACCCCAUUCUGGCCUCAAGCCCAACCUGCAAUCUCUAAUCCAACUUUACCUUUAAUAAAGCUGACAUUUU